UACGUAGGGGGCAAGCGUUGUCCGGAUUUAUUGGGCGUAAAGAGCGUGUAGGCGGCCAAGCAGGUCAGCUGUGAAAACUCGAGGCUCAACCUCGAGACGUCGGUUGAAACCGCUUGGCUAGAGUCCGGAAGAGGAGAGUGGAAUUCCCGGUGUAGCGGUGAAAUGCGCAGAUAUCGGGAAGAACACCCGUGGCGAAGGCGGCUCUCUGGGACGGUACUGACGCUGAGACGCGAAAAGCGUGGGGAGCGAACAGG
Molecule: ribosomal RNA, 254 nt
Filed under: uncultured bacterium
Lineage: Bacteria
Description: partial 16S ribosomal RNA
Rfam family: Bacterial small subunit ribosomal RNA
Source: RNAcentral